UACGCAGGCAGCAAGCGUUGUUCGGAAUUACUGGGCGUAAAGAGUGUGUAGGCGGUGUUCUAAGUUUGGUGUGAAAUCUCCCGGCUCAACUGGGAGGGUGCGCCGAAAACUGGAAUGCUAGAGUAUGGGAGAGGUAAGCGGAAUUCCUGGUGUAGCGGUGAAAUGCGUAGAUAUCAGGAGGAACACCUGUGGUGUAGACAGCUUACUGGACCAUCACUGACGCUGAGACACGAAAGCGUGGGUAGCAAACAGG
Molecule: ribosomal RNA, 253 nt
Filed under: uncultured bacterium
Lineage: Bacteria
Description: partial 16S ribosomal RNA
Rfam family: Bacterial small subunit ribosomal RNA
Source: RNAcentral